Carya illinoinensis is the source of this 600-nucleotide long non-coding RNA. RefSeq lists it as uncharacterized. NCBI's taxonomy places the organism in Eukaryota, Viridiplantae, Streptophyta, Magnoliopsida, Fagales, Juglandaceae. The transcript has 3 exons. The record is from RefSeq and is a predicted model, not a curated record.
GGGGAUAAAGAUAUCAACAAUCAUGACAGUGCUGCUGCUCUCCUUCUAAACAGGUUCUAUUUCCAAUUCUUUGCAUCGAGUUAGAGCAUGUAGCAGCUCUCAGGAUAUACUGAAGAUAAAAGUUUGUUUGUUUUCAGUUUGCACUUCCCUUAUGAUCAGAGGCAGAGAUUCAGUUACCUAUCCUUUUGUGUUCAAAAUUAGGAAGACGCUAGAAACCAUGCUCCUAUGGCCUUCACUGAAUGGGGAUGAAACUGCAUGCCUGAUUACUCUUUUUUUUUUUCCAUAUUUUUCUACUGGUUACUCUUAUCUCUAUGCAAGUAAUGGCUGUAAGUAUUUUCUCCCCUUAGUUUCCAAAGCACAACAUGGAUGCAUUGAUUGUCUAGCAAUGAUGAUAUGUGCUGAAUUCAAAACUCUAGAAUCAUUUGCCUCGACCUCAGAGAAGAUUACGAUUCCUGAAAAGAAAGAUUGUACCAGUUAGUUUCAUAUCCUUAUUAUGAACAUAAAUAUUGAUCCAUAUAAAUAUGCAAUUAAUCAUGCAUAUCCAAUCAAUCUUAACUAAGCUUAACAAUAUAGUGGUCUUCAAAAUAUACCAGGAAUCAC